RNAcentral lists this ribosomal RNA (463 nucleotides) under Vreelandella stevensii. RNAcentral describes it as "partial 16S ribosomal RNA". It matches the Rfam family "Bacterial small subunit ribosomal RNA", at positions 338 to 795 of the family's 1533-position model. Lineage: Bacteria; Pseudomonadati; Pseudomonadota; Gammaproteobacteria; Oceanospirillales; Halomonadaceae. The record is from RNAcentral.
CCUACGGGGGGCAGCAGUGGGGAAUAUUGGACAAUGGGGGCAACCCUGAUCCAGCCAUGCCGCGUGUGUGAAGAAGGCCCUCGGGUUGUAAAGCACUUUCAGUGAGGAAGAACGCCUGGUGGUUAAUACCCAUCAGGAAAGACAUCACUCACAGAAGAAGCACCGGCUAACUCCGUGCCAGCAGCCGCGGUAAUACGGAGGGUGCGAGCGUUAAUCGGAAUUACUGGGCGUAAAGCGCGCAGGUGGCUUGAUAAGCCGGUUGUGAAAGCCCCGGGCUCAACCUGGGAACGGCAUCCGGAACUGUCAAGCUAGAGUGCAGGAGAGGAAGGUAGAAUUCCCGGUGUAGCGGUGAAAUGCGUAGAGAUCGGGAGGAAUACCAGUGGCGAAGGCGGCCUUCUGGACUGACACUGACACUGAGGUGCGAAAGCGUGGGUAGCAAACAGGAUUAGAUACCCUAGUAGUC